This 225-nucleotide ribosomal RNA is filed under the name Triticum aestivum (bread wheat). Its description in RNAcentral is "partial small subunit ribosomal RNA". The record is from RNAcentral. Lineage: Eukaryota; Viridiplantae; Streptophyta; Magnoliopsida; Poales; Poaceae.
CAAAGCAAGCGGACGAAGGCAUACACAAAGGAUGAGGACGAGCUCCUUUGUGAAUGUUGGAGGGACAUUGGACAAGACCCCAAGAUUGGCGCCAAGCAAAAGGCGUCAACCUUUUGGCUAUGUGUUCAUCGCGAAUUUCUUGAGCGUAAGAAGUUCGCACCAUACCAAAUGGAGAGCAAGCGCUAGUGGGUGCCCCUCUCGACGCGUCGGAGGGUGAUACAAUAA